RNAcentral lists this ribosomal RNA (165 nucleotides) under uncultured bacterium. RNAcentral describes it as "partial 16S rRNA". It matches the Rfam family "Bacterial small subunit ribosomal RNA", at positions 355 to 511 of the family's 1533-position model. The record is from RNAcentral.
UAAGGAAUCUUCGGCAAUGGGGGCAACCCUGACCGAGCAACGCCGCGUGAGUGAAGAAGGUUUUCGGAUCGUAAAGCUCUGUUGUAAGAGAAGAACGUGUGUGAGAGUGGAAAGUUCACACAGUGACGGUAACUUACCAGAAAGGGACGGCUAACUACGUGCUAG